RNAcentral lists this non-coding RNA (21 nucleotides) under Rattus norvegicus (Norway rat). Lineage: Eukaryota; Metazoa; Chordata; Mammalia; Rodentia; Muridae. The record is from RNAcentral.
GUAGUCAUGGUGUGGAGCUGU